GGUUUGAACUUCAAGGACUUUGUUCCCUUCUUGUCAGCAUUCAGUGCUAAAGCAAGUGUACAGUAGAAAAUAAAAAUUAUCUUCAAAGUGUAUGAUUCUGAUGGCAAUGGAAAGGAGUCUUUCAAUGACAUACUAGAAGUGUUACGUGAUUUGUCCGGUUCGUUUAUUUCUGAU
Molecule: long non-coding RNA, 174 nt
Organism: Hibiscus syriacus
Lineage: Eukaryota; Viridiplantae; Streptophyta; Magnoliopsida; Malvales; Malvaceae
Exons: 2
Source: RefSeq, a predicted model, not a curated record